Homo sapiens (human) is the source of this 870-nucleotide RNA transcript. It is a transcript of the gene named phosphodiesterase 4D interacting protein-like, with no coding region annotated. Lineage: Eukaryota; Metazoa; Chordata; Mammalia; Primates; Hominidae. The record is from RefSeq and is marked validated.
UCCAGGAAAGAGUGUCUGUGGCAGUUAAUAACGAUUAAUGCCUGUGUGUUUUUCAGAACACUGAGCUGAAGGUUGAAGUGGAGAGCUUGAAACGAGAACUCCAGGACAAGAAACAGCAUCUGGAUAAAACAUGGGCUGAUGUGGAGAAUCUCAACAGUCAGAAUGAAGCUGAGCUCCGACGCCAGUUUGAGGAGCGACAGCAGGAGACGGAGCAUGUUUAUGAGCUCUUGGAGAAUAAGAUGCAGCUUCUGCAGGAGGAAUCCAGGCUAGCAAAGAAUGAAGCUGCGCGGAUGGCAGCUCUGGUGGAAGCAGAGAAGGAGUGUAACCUGGAGCUCUCAGAGAAACUGAAGGGAGUCACCAAAAACUGGGAAGAUGUACCAGGAGACCAGGUCAAGCCCGACCAAUACACUGAGGCCCUGGCCCAGAGGGACAAGUAGGUGCCUUCGGUGCUCUUUUUGUCGCUUGUCUUUUGCCCAUUCUCAAGGCAUACAGCAGCUGUCCUGUUCCCUUUCAAGGACUGACAGUAGGAGCUUCACUAUUUCUAAGACUUUAUGGGCCCACAACCGAAGACAUUCUUUUCAGGGUUGAAUUUUCAGUGGUAUCCAUUAUGAAAACUCACUUCAUGGAUUCAGUGGGCAAAUAGCGGCAAGCAAGAGACAUGGAUUCACUUAUUCAGCAAACAUUUACUGGGCAUGCCACAUGCCAGAUACCGGGCUAAGUAUCUGGCAUGUGUUACAGAAACAAAAGACCUAAAUCUUGUCACCAAGAAACAUGUUACAUGAUUUUAAUAAGUUCCCUGAUAGAAGAGCAUGGGGUGCUCUGGGGAAAUAUUGGAGGGUCAUCCAUUCCACAUUAAAAGAGCAAGUUGUC